CAAAUAACCAUUUCAGGCAACUACAAUAACAUAAUUAUGAAUAUACUGAGAAGAUGUUCAGAUUCAAAUUUGCCAAGAAUGAUAUCAUAUAUGCGUUUUACAAAUCAAAAUUUGUUACAGAACAACCAAUGUGGAUAUCCAACCCUUAAGGAAAAAUUAAUAGAACUCAAGAUGGUGGGCUGGGGGGAACAUUAAAAUCUGUAGUUCUACUGGAAGUAAUGGUACAAAAGGCAUUAAGUGCAUGGCUGGCCUCAAUGGAACAAAGAAUAGAGAAUGGAAUUGGGUACAAUGAAGAAGCUUUCAGUUAUAUUACUAGUUACUUUUCCACAGAGAUGAUGUAUUUUAAUGAAGUCGAAAGGAAUUCCUCGCCCCAACGAAUAACUAGAGUCUUGCAUCCAAUAUGCAUUUCCUUCACAUUUAAAUUGCAAGAUUUGAAGUGUGUCGUCAGCUACCAGCAUUUCUGUAGCAUUCUGGGGCACUAAACCAUCAGCAGGCACUAAAUCUUUUGUGUGGUAAAGAAUAAUGUACAGAAAUAGGCUUCAAAAAACAUGAAUGCCUCUUGCAUUUUAUUCUGUUGCUUGUUGAUGUUGAUGAAGAAUAUUUCGCUUCUCAGAUGACCUGUGACGAAACAACUUUGCUACGGCUCUUCUCUCGCAAUCCUACAACAUAAUAUGUGAAUAAAUUUAAAAAUGAGAAUAGGCUAUUAAAAAAUGUAAUUAUAACAACUGGUUCUAAUUUGAAAACUUUGCUAUUAGUGUCGCUCUUUCUGUUCACUUUUAGUGGAGAAAAAUUAUCAAUAGAAUUCUGCACCUUGAACAUGUUUAGAUAAAAUGGUUUGCCCAGAUUCAUCCUUCUCAAUUUCUGGUAUGUAUAUGCGAAACUAAGUUGAUCACGAGGAGUGAAGCGAUCAACCUCAUUGAACCAAAGACAUGAGAACAGGUUUGACAUGGGAGUGUGCGCUCUUACAAUUAAAGACCCUUCAGGUACAUUGCUGGGAAGAAGCUUAUUUGGAUCAGAGGCAUUGAAUCUUUUCAGUCCAUCAGCCUGGUAGAAAGUAAAUUGCUGAUCUAUAACAGUAUGAUUGUACUUGUUCAAUCUCUUGUUCUGUGCAACCUCUUCCCAUACACAAUGGCGAUCAUAGUGAUUAGAAAUGGCAUAUUCAUGACCUUUUCGCCCCAGAAAAUAUUCCAGAACGAGCAAAGGGUCAAGUUGAAGACGUAAUUUGCUAUCCAACCAGAUUGAAUACCUGAGAAAAUAUUUAUAUGGUAAAGAUUUAUAUUCAAGUGACACAGCAAGAUCGGAUGGAAUUCCUGCUUAUCCAUAAAGUUAAUGAUUUCAAUGAGCAACUAGCUCAAUAUUCUUUCAAGAUGACAGUUGCAUAAGCAGUACCACUCUGAACUUUGAACCAAACUGUACAAGCAUCCUGGACAGAGUUUUAGGACACAGUUUUCCGCAUGCAUAAAACAUAGAUUCUACUUCCAAGGACAUAAAGCAAAGUACCCAGAACCAACCAAAAUGGAGCCAACUAAAGAAUCCCAAAAGUUAGAUUUCUAGAAGAUGAUGCUAUGCAGAAAUUAAAAGGAUAGAGUCAAUUUGUUUUUACUAAAGCAAAAAACAAAGGGUGCAUGUUCUUCAAAUUCAGGUCAGGGGAUACCCUGAUCCAGAAUAGGCACAUUCAAUUUUUUCUUAUAAUCAGGAGAAUCACUAUUGCAGUGCCAUUACCCAUUGUUCCAAGAUUUCAGUAUCAGUCAGCUAGUAGACAAGUGCAUUUUAGUUAGAAGAGAGAGUGGCAGAGUUUCAAAAAAUAUAAAGAAAAAGAAGGGAAGUGAAGUAGUAAAAGUGUGACUUCCACUUAGCGCACCAGAAACACAACUAUUCUCUAAACCUCUCAAUAAAUCUCUAUUGAGAAUAAAUCUCCAAGAAAAAGGUGCAAGCACCAUUUCAAUUUGCAUUUGAAUGUCCAUUAGAAAAAUCUGUCAAACUGUUCCCGAAUCUCCAAGAAUGCAACAUUGUCGUUAGGUCUUUCUUUUCUCCCUUUUAAGGUCAUCAAAUAAAUAAGCAGCUAAAAGCGUUACAAGCAAUAGAAACUACACUAACAAACAAUAGUAAGCCACUAAUCACAGUAUUCUCAAAAUUACAUGCAUAACAAGAUAAAAAUUUCAAUAAUAAACUCUGACUCUUACCUUGCAGAAGGGAAAAGCCGGUGUGGCAACAAUUUUGGUAUUUUGCCCACUCUCCGCAUAUCUGUAUAUGGUUGAUUCUUCACCACCACAAUCUUCCAUAAACCAAUAAAACCAGCUCUAUCUGGGAUUUGACCUUCCGAAGAAAGUGUUUGCAAAGUAACUUCAUCCACGAACAUAACAAAGCAGACGUUUUUCCUUGACAAGCGAGUGACCAUUUUACUAGUAGGUGACCUCAAACGAUCUGAAUUUCCAAAGAUACAAGAGAUUACAGCAAUGUGGCAUCUACUGACAUAAUUUGCAUCAUCUUCUGCCAAAUCAAAUCCUGUACUUGGGGAUCCUUCAGGACCUUUAACAAAGCCACAAUUUAUUUUUUGAUCAUGAACCAAAAAUGAUUCUUCCCGUUCUUGCAAGCUCUGAUGCCCGGCAAAUCUGGGCUCCCAUUGUUCAUCCACAUUGGGCCUCUCCUCCAUUUCCACAUACUGCAAGGAAAAUCUUGAAAAUUUAUGACUUUCAAAAGGCUCGACAAGUUGUGAAGUAGAAUUUAGAAACUUCGUCUCACAAGACCCAGAAAAUUUCCGGCGCCUUUUUCUUUUUGAGUCUGUCUGUGAUUUGCUUGUAGAUUGACUGCCAGUAGCACGAACUUGUCGAGAAUUACUGUGAAUAUUAUCCAUAGUUCUGGAAUUCAAAGACUUCUCUAACAUAUUAUCAGAGACUUCCUGACUGUCCUUGGCAAUACUUUGAUCCUUAGUUUCAGCAUCAUGUAAACUAGAGGACUCUCUACCAUCAUUAUCAUGGGAUAUUCCUAUAGCAGUGUGGUCACCACUUUCAUUUUCAGAAUCGCCGUAUUCCUCCAUAUGAGGAUCGUGGGAAUCAGUACCAUCAUCAUACUCAUUAUCAGUAUCAACUAGCUCAUUCUGCUCUACAUUAUCCUCAUCAUCAAGUAACUGAUUUUUAUUGUCAUUUUCAUUUCUUGAUUGGCUAGUAUUCUUUAGAGAGGCCUCAUACUCUGCUUCAUACCUUUUUAAUUCAUUACGUCCAUCUUCAUUGUACAAUCCAACUCCUCUUUGCUCUAAACCCUUAAAAGGAUCAUCUUGAGAAGUCUUCUCCUUUCCUACCUUCACUUCCACUGGAUCAUGGUCCUUUUCAGCAGAUCCACCCCUAGCUUCCUUACCAUCAUGAGUCACAUCAUCCUCAUUAUAAUCUCCUUCCCUUCUUCUAUCAUCCCUAUCCCAAUACCUAGAAUCCCGUCCAUGUCCCACUGAACCUUGGCCAAAGCCAAGGACUCUAAAGUUGUCUGUUCGGGUAACAUUUGUAAGAAAAUCCAAAUCAUUCUUCAUCUCACCAUCAUCAACAUGAUGAGCAUUUAUUUCUGCACCUUUAUCAUCGGCGGAGAGGUAAUAGUAAGCUAAAAUAGUAACAGCAAGCACAACACAUAAAACCACAAUGACCGCUCCGAUCGAGAAGGCAGCAGCACUGCCCUUAUCAGAUCGAGCCCAUCGGCGAACCCUCACCGGCUUGUACUGCUGGUCCAGAGAAGUCCGAGGACAAAUCCCAAUGGACAAGUGAUCCGACGUACCGUUUGAGUAAUGGUGUCCAGAUUGCCGGUACUGCGCCAUUCCUAUACAUUUAUCAUGCGCUCACUCACGCACUGCAUUCACCGCCAAAUUCAACAAUGCCUCAAUAGAAACUCCCGAUUUGUAAUGCUCUGUACGUAUAAUCGUGUACACAGAUAUAUAUAUAUAUAGAGAGAAAGAUGGAGGAAAUGAACAGAGCGAUUUAGGUGACUGGUCCGCCAGAGAAAGAGAGAGACGGAGAAGGAUUUGGUGUUUGAUAUUAGAUAGGGACU
Molecule: unclassified non-coding RNA, 4029 nt
Filed under: Hevea brasiliensis (rubber tree)
Lineage: Eukaryota; Viridiplantae; Streptophyta; Magnoliopsida; Malpighiales; Euphorbiaceae
Source: RNAcentral